GGGAGUUGGUGGGGGUGGUUGCCGAGCCACUCUCUGCCAUCUACCGUCACUUCUGGUUAUCUGGAGAGGUCCCAGAGGAUUGGAGGCUUGUCGAUGCGACUCCCAUCUACAAGAAGGGCUGUAAGAAGGAUCUGGGGAACUACAGGCCGGUCAGCCUGACCUCAGUACCAGGGAAAGCCACUGUUGGUGAGGCAAAGAAAAGUCAUGCCUGAGAAUCUUCCUCCUCUCUCCAGGUAGAGGAGUAGAAAUGAAUUUUGGGAAGAAAAUGACAACAACAACAAAAAUCACCACCAAUUUAUCUUUCUGAGGAGUACUUAAACAUUUGAAUAGGAAAAAGGAACAGUGAAAAGAAGAAAUUUCGAGAAAUACCGAUAUCCUCUAAGUGUAUAUCUUGGAAAGACUAUAGAGAGACUACUCUUAUAGUCAACGUUUUAUUAUAAGGGCGUACACUCAUGGAUUACAAUUAGGAGUAACUGUGGAAGGAACAGCCUCUACCAGCAACCUCUCGGCAGUCUGUAUAAACAGAUGAUGACUACCUCUCAAUCAGCCACCAACUGAGAAGCUGCUUGUUGGAGGACCAGAGGAUGCUGCAUGGGAUACACAGAUUUUGGCUGACACUGUCACAGAGCAGCUUAAUGACUCCCACAGUACGAUGUACUAGGCUUAUAUUGAGCCUAGUUGAAAGCUUAUCAGAGGUGAACGUUGGUGGUGUGGCGGCUGAACUUUCCCACCAAUAUUCCAUUACAUUCUGUUGCUGUGUGACAGAUGGCAUCAGAGGAGCAGUCUGAAAAAAAUGGCAUCUAACAUGGAAGUGCAUAUGUAGCAAAGAACUUCAGAAAGAUGUAUGCCUGCUGCCCAGCUGGUUUGCAUAACAAACUUUUUGGUAAGUUCUAUUCUCACUCCGAAUGUAACUGAGAGACCUUUAAAACUCCUGGGUUAAGACACAAAGGCUAUCCCAAAUUUGUUGUGUAAGCAAGUGGAGAAGCAAAACUACCUAUGAAAAGUUGACAAACCUGCCAAAUCUAUGGAGAAAAUAGACUUAAUGGCUAAAAGAACAGCCUUCCUGUAUUUCUGGAAUCAAGGUCCACUACUGGGAUAUUUAUUUUUUUAAACCUGUAGUUCCUCUCUGUCCAGAAUAAAUAGCAAGUUAUUUCAGAAAGGACAGAAACUGUAUCACCAGCCUGUUAAAAGAUUUAAGAGUCCUCAAAAGGAGUUGGCUUUCCUUUCAUCAAAGCGUUUAUGCUACUCCUCUGUUACAUUAACAUAUUAUAUAAAAUACUAGAACAAUAUUUUUUCUUGGAAAACUAGAGCAGCAACACUGUGAGAACAAGUAUACAAGACAGUCUACUGAAAGAGAUUCCAGGACAGAAAUGGGAACAUAGUGAUUUUAACACUGAUGUUGCAUUUGAACUAUGGGAUGUGUCUGCUUCGUGUUGCACUAUGACUUGCCCAGACCAGACAAGCCAAUAGAGCAUUUUGUUCCUUCCCUCUCAGAUGCAAAGGAUUCUGUGUUGUUAGAUGCCCUGCAGUGCUCAAGAAAUUAUUAAUGCAUAUACACUGGACAGGACCAGGACAAUCUGCCAGAUUCAUAAUAUUUAGUUUUUCAGUAUAUUGAAAGAUUAUUUCCUCAACCCAGGACCCAUGAAUUGGUUUUAGUUGUGAUUUUCUUAAUGCUUCUUUAAUUCACUACCAUUUCACAGGUUUUUUUCAGAUACUUUUGCUUACUUUCAAACCCGUAUGGAUUAAUUUCCAGUUUAUACAUUCACAUUCAGAAGCCAAACAGGCUAUGU
Molecule: long non-coding RNA, 1790 nt
Organism: Gallus gallus (chicken)
Lineage: Eukaryota; Metazoa; Chordata; Aves; Galliformes; Phasianidae
Source: Ensembl